GAUGGCUGUAGCUCAGUGGUAGGACAUCUGCUUUGCAUGCAGAAGGUCCCAUGUUUAAUCCCAGAUGGCAUCUUCA
Podarcis lilfordi (Lilford's wall lizard) is the source of this 76-nucleotide non-coding RNA. The record is from the annotation of a GenBank genome assembly. Lineage: Eukaryota; Metazoa; Chordata; Lepidosauria; Squamata; Lacertidae.